This 306-nucleotide unclassified non-coding RNA is filed under the name plant metagenome. Its description in RNAcentral is "partial contains 5.8S ribosomal RNA, internal transcribed spacer 2, and large subunit ribosomal RNA". The stretch from base 1 to 105 matches the Rfam family "5.8S ribosomal RNA", at positions 50 to 154 of the family's 154-position model. The record is from RNAcentral.
GAAAUGCGAUAAGUAAUGUGAAUUGCAGAAUUCAGUGAAUCAUCGAAUCUUUGAACGCACAUUGCGCCCGCCAGUAUUCUGGCGGGCAUACCUGUCCGAGCGUCAUUUCAACCAUCAAGCCCCCGGGCUUGUGUUGGGGACCUGCGGCUGCCCGCAGGCCCUGAAAACCAGUGGCGGGCUCGCUGUCACACCGAGCGUAGUAGCAAUCACCUCGCUCAGGGCGUGCUGCGGGUUCCGGCCGUUAAACAGCCUUACAAAACCCAAGGUUGACCUCGGAUCAGGUAGGAAGACCCGCUGAACUUAAGC